Long non-coding RNA from Heterocephalus glaber (naked mole-rat), 453 nucleotides. The record is from Ensembl. NCBI's taxonomy places the organism in Eukaryota, Metazoa, Chordata, Mammalia, Rodentia, Bathyergidae.
GUGUGACUCACAUGUUUAAGGGGAUGCUGUUAUAAACAGAUCUACUACACUGACAACUGUAUAAAAGCAUAGUGCCUACAAUUAUGUACAGUACAUUGUACUAUACACUUUAUCAUCAUUUUAGAAUGUGCUACUUCUACUUAUAAGAUAAUUUUUACUGUAAAACAGUAUACCGUGGCACACUGGAAGAAGCCACCUAUAUUUGAGGCUGACUGCAUUUCUUGAGGACAUCAAGAAGCCAUGUUCAGCGGUGGACCUGUACCAUCUAAUUCUGUUGAUAAACACCUUGUAAGGAAGGGGAGGGAGCAGGAUUAUACAGAGGGAGAAGUUGAACCCUUGCAUGCCUGACCAGGACUCAGCCAAUCCAGCAAGGGACUCUGAAGCUAAUGAAUUGCCCAGCAAUGAAGCCGUCUCUCUGGCUAAAGUGGCCAGUUCUUUACGCUUCUGCCUUAG